RNAcentral lists this long non-coding RNA (632 nucleotides) under Bos taurus (domestic cattle). Its description in RNAcentral is "long non-coding RNA NONBTAT006855". The record is from RNAcentral. Lineage: Eukaryota; Metazoa; Chordata; Mammalia; Artiodactyla; Bovidae.
GGAGUGUUAAAUAAAUAAAAGAAAAACCGUCUGUGGCAAUGGACAAUUAUUCCUUGCUGUCUUUUUUUGAAAUAGGUUUUUAGGUUUUUAAACAGAGGCUUACUCCCUCAUACAUCCUAAAUGUAGCAGGCAUGUCACUUGUCUCUAGUCCCCUAAUCCUUGUUUUAUCUCUAGGCAGCUGGGGCUUUUGAGCUCCUUGCUUUUCCCAUGCAAAUGCCUAGUGGGGAGUAAGUUGCAGGGCAUCUCUAGAAAGAUGCUCCAGCCACCCUUCCACAGCUCCUGUUACUGCCUGAAGGUACCUUUCUGAACUCCCUUAAAUAGUUAGGUCAGCCUCCUGCAUAGGAUCUGCAGCUGGUUGCAGAGAGGGUGAACGCCAAGACCAGGCCAGGAUUGGACAGACUCUAUUUCUUCUCUCUCUGCUCCCUAAGCGUGUUCACACGUGUUAGCAUCCGAUGCCGCUUAGAAUGAAAUUGCCUGGAGGGGAGAACAGGUCAAUUCAGCACUGGACAGGUCCCCUCGGUGGCACUCGAUCCAUCUCGACUAUCCUGACUCCUCCAUUAAGAAAGAAGGUGACCUCUGAUCCUGGAGGCAGUGUCUCCAGGGUUUCUGGUGUCUCCUAAUAGACUCUACAU